RNAcentral lists this long non-coding RNA (699 nucleotides) under Acromyrmex echinatior (Panamanian leafcutter ant). RNAcentral's name for it is "uncharacterized LOC105143069, transcript variant X7". The record is from RNAcentral. Lineage: Eukaryota; Metazoa; Arthropoda; Insecta; Hymenoptera; Formicidae.
CGAGACGGAUGAUGAAAUGAUCCCUCGUAAUCCCUUCCCCUUCCGCAAGAUUCUGGUCAUGAAAUAUAGUAGAGAUCUCGAAACGAUCUGAUCACGAAUGGUUUUGUCAAAACAAGAGUAAGAAAGAAGGAUCGGAGCAUAAAUUGAUUGUAAAGAGAAAGCGACAGAAAUACAUGCUUCUUUUAUGAUUGUGUUGAAUAACAACGGAGCUUAUUGGAAAUCCAAUCGUCUCUGAACUUCAUCACGAAUGGUUGAUUGAUAUACCUCUAAAACCGGCGAGAUCCGAAUGGCGAUGGUUUUAUUUAGGUUUAGGUUAUCACAUCGUUGCACAUCGAUGAACGGAACACAGCUUGUUGCGCGGAACAAGUAAACGAGAACGAGCGAGAACGAAGAAGACGUGAUGUGUCAUUCGUACCUAGACCCCUGCAGAGUCCGACCGGAAAGCGAAACAAUAGAGAUCGACGAAUGACAAUUGCAACGUUUCUCUAAACUGACAUGACGACCGAUAAUCCACGGUAAUCAGAUACCGCAUAUAGCUUGCGUGCGUCGUAUAGCUUGGUGUGUACAUAUAUAUAUAUGUAUAUAUGAUAUAUGAUAUAUGAAUAUAGCCUCCCAUUCGCGCGAGCGUAAGCACAAAAAAACUGCAACCAGUAAUAUAAAGCAGCCAGAAAUAGUUGGAUAUACCGAUGAGUUGUUAUU